CCUUAGUCUUGAGGUCUAUGGCCUCC
RNAcentral lists this non-coding RNA (26 nucleotides) under Rattus norvegicus (Norway rat). Lineage: Eukaryota; Metazoa; Chordata; Mammalia; Rodentia; Muridae. The record is from RNAcentral.